AGAACGAACGCUGGCGGCAUGCCUAACACAUGCAAGUCGAACGCUUUUGGGGCUUCGGUCCCAAAGGAGUGGCGCACGGGUGAGUAGCGCGUGGGAACCUGCCCUGUUGUGGGGGAUAACCGAGGGAAACUUCGGCUAAUACCGCAUACGCCCGGGGGAAACUCUGGGGAAAGAUUUAUCGCAGCAGGAGGGGCCCGCGUCGGAUUAGGUAGUUGGUGGGGUAACGGCCCACCAAGCCUGUGAUCCGUAGCUGGUCUGAGAGGAUGAUCAGCCACACUGGGACUGAGACACGGCCCAGACUCCUACGGGAGGCAGCAGUGGGGAAUAUUGGACAAUGGGCGCAAGCCUGAUCCAGCAAUGCCGCGUGAGUGAUGAAGGCCUUCGGGUUGUAAAGCUCUUUCGCACGCGACGAUGAUGACGGUAGCGUGAGAAGAAGCCCCGGCUAACUUCGUGCCAGCAGCCGCGGU
Molecule: ribosomal RNA, 467 nt
Filed under: uncultured bacterium
Lineage: Bacteria
Description: SSU rRNA
Rfam family: Bacterial small subunit ribosomal RNA
Source: RNAcentral